Long non-coding RNA from Sinocyclocheilus grahami, 389 nucleotides. RefSeq lists it as uncharacterized. The transcript is spliced from 5 exons. The record is from RefSeq and is a predicted model, not a curated record. NCBI's taxonomy places the organism in Eukaryota, Metazoa, Chordata, Actinopteri, Cypriniformes, Cyprinidae.
UUCUCAGUCGCCUACACUGGGUCCUUCGUUCCUCCUGAAGGACUUUUCUGGUUGCGUGUCCACGUGGAGAUGAGUGUCACCAUGCGCUCUUAAAGCGGUAAAGACGGCUUCAUUGUGUAGCAUGUGGCAUUGCAUUGAAAGCAGCAGGAAAUGGCUGGUGCACCGUGUCACGUGUUGACCCCAUGAGGUGUGAAUCUACAUUAGGUGAGCAGGCCUGCAGGGUCAGGGUUACAUGACACCUGGGUCUAUAUUCACCAAGGAGUGAUCCUUUCUAGUGGAGGUAAAUUACCCAGCAUUCAAGGACUAGUGGCGUGUGAGAUGCUGUUUUCUGCGAGAUUUGUGAAUCUGCACUGCAUUCUUUUAUAAAUAAAACCUUCUGCUUAACAGUC